This 1093-nucleotide long non-coding RNA is filed under the name Danio rerio (zebrafish). RNAcentral's name for it is "lncRNA (ENSDARG00000097728.2)". Lineage: Eukaryota; Metazoa; Chordata; Actinopteri; Cypriniformes; Danionidae. The record is from RNAcentral.
UUUAGAACCUGUCAAUAAUUAUAUUUAUUUUUCUGUAAAAGGCAAACUUCACAACAUGAUGACUCUGGGCUCUGUGAUGUAAAAGAGAAAAUUGAGGAGCUUCUACUAGCAUUUGAAGGUCUACCUGCCAUGUCAGCUAAACUGAGAGAGCUGUGCAAAUGCCUCACAGAACGGCAAAGUGAGGUUCUGAGAACAUCGUUCAAGUGCUGUGUGUUCAGAGGAGUGAUGGACAGUCCUGUCUCGGUGCUGUUGUAGCCUUAUUGGCUGUCGACAAUGCAUAGAGGCAGUAGUGGACGAGGGCUAAGCCUGUAUAAAAUGCAGGUCUGCAGUGUCAAGAGAUUUUAUUGUGGUUGUGGCUGGCUUGUCUGAGGUCCUGAGUAUCAUUAAGGCCUUAGACAAGCAGUACAACUCCUGUUGAAGCUGUCAACUGAACCCUCCAAGCUGAUGUCUGGGUCUGGCAAGAGCACAUUUUGAUUAGAAGGAAUCAUUUAAUUCGGUUUGGCCAUUUGCAUUUUUUUAAUGCUUUUCCUAUUAAAAGCUUGACUCUUCUGUUGUGACAUUGUGUUCUAGAUGGGAACUUUUCAUUUUGUCAAUCUUGUAGUCUGAUAUGGCUAGGAUCUGUAGUCUUCUUUCAGUGUAAUCAAGGAACUUUGCUGCUGUUCCAUGAUUGUAACAGGUGUAAUAUUACGCAAUGCUGUUACCUAGCUGGGAACAAUUUUUAAGUGCUGUAUGUUUCUUUUGCUACAGCCAUGGUAUGGCAGCAAAAUACUUUCAAAAUUAAGCUGGAAUGUGUAUAGAACCUAGCCAUAUCAGCCUAGAAAAAAAACUACCAUGUGAUGACAUAUGUCAAACUCUAAAUGGGAAAGUCAGAACUUUUUUUUAAUUAGCAAGAUGCUAUUGCAAUAAUCUAUGCUAAGCUAAAGCCAACUCCCCCACCCCCCUUAUUUAAAAUGUUUUGUAUUAGUUUGUAUGCAUGUUUAUAUGCAGUUUACACAAUACAGUACGUUAGUGUUAUUACUACCUUUUUCAUACAUUUUGUGAUUCAAAGACAAUGUUUUAAACAUUCUGUUGGCAUGUUUGAGAAUAAAAAAAA